CAGUUCGGAUUNUAGGCUGAAACUCGCCUACAUGAAGCUGGAGUUGCUAGUAAUCGCGAAUCAGCAUGUCGCGGUGAAUACGUUCCCGGGCCUUGUACACACCGCCCGUCACACCAUGAGAGUUGGCAAUACCCAACGUACGUGAUCUAACCCGCAAGGGAGGAAGCGUCCUAAGGUAGGGUCAGCGAUUGGGGUGAAGUCGUAACAAGGUAUC
RNAcentral lists this ribosomal RNA (214 nucleotides) under uncultured bacterium. Its description in RNAcentral is "partial 16S ribosomal RNA". It matches the Rfam family "Bacterial small subunit ribosomal RNA", at positions 1289 to 1500 of the family's 1533-position model. The record is from RNAcentral.